Molecule: ribosomal RNA, 496 nt
Filed under: uncultured bacterium
Lineage: Bacteria
Description: partial 16S ribosomal RNA
Rfam family: Bacterial small subunit ribosomal RNA
Source: RNAcentral
GAUGAACGCUGGCGGCGUGCCUAAUACAUGCAAGUCGAGCGAACAGACGAGGAGCUUGCUCCUCUGACGUUAGCGGCGGACGGGUGAGUAACACGUGGAUAACCUACCUAUAAGACUGGGAUAACUUUGGGAAACCGGAGCUAAUACCGGAUAAUAUAUUGAACCGCAUGUUCAAUAGUGAAAGACGGUUUUGCUGUCACUUAUAGAUGGAUCCGCGCCGCAUUAGCUAGUUGGUAAGGUAACGGCUUACCAAGGCGACGAUGCGUAGCCGACCUGAGAGGGUGAUCGGCCACACUGGAACUGAGACACGGUCCAGACUCCUACGGGAGGCAGCAGUAGGGAAUCUUCCGCAAUGGGCGAAAGCCUGACGGAGCAACGCCGCGUGAGUGAUGAAGGUCUUCGGAUCGUAAAACUCUGUUAUUAGGGAAGAACAAAUGUGUAAGUAACUAUGCACGUCUUGACGGUACCUAAUCAGAAAGCCACGGCUAACCACGUG